RNAcentral lists this transfer-messenger RNA (316 nucleotides) under Rikenellaceae bacterium. RNAcentral's name for it is "partial transfer-messenger RNA". It matches the Rfam family "transfer-messenger RNA", at positions 1 to 284 of the family's 374-position model. Rfam says of the family: Bacterial tmRNA, also known as 10Sa RNA or SsrA, is named for its dual tRNA and mRNA-like properties. Lineage: Bacteria; Pseudomonadati; Bacteroidota; Bacteroidia; Bacteroidales; Rikenellaceae. The record is from RNAcentral.
GGGGAUGUUUUGGUUUUGACAGCAUUCACAAUCGGAAGAUAAGCACGUCGAGCGUUGUAUCCCCGGCUCGUAAAUCCCGGAGUACAAGCCAUAACUGGCAACAAUAACUAUGCACUCGCUGCGUAAUUUAAGCAUAGCUUAAAACGCUUAAUUGUGGCAGGCCAGGUCCUGUUAUAACGAGUAUCCCGCCGGGUCUUUAAGCCCUCUAUGAAACGGCAAAUGGGGUAUCAUUCAAGAGUGGAUGCGGAGGCGGACUCCUUUAAAGUCUCCUAAGUACUCAGAGGAUAAGCCGUGAGUGGCCUGCCUUUCGGCAGCU